UAUGGCAGAUUAGUGCAUUGGAUUUAAAUUCCUAUUAUAAAGAAUUAACUCUUUUAUUAAUA
This 62-nucleotide transfer RNA is filed under the name Temnothorax salvini. RNAcentral's name for it is "tRNA-Leu". Lineage: Eukaryota; Metazoa; Arthropoda; Insecta; Hymenoptera; Formicidae. The record is from RNAcentral.